This 254-nucleotide ribosomal RNA is filed under the name uncultured bacterium. RNAcentral describes it as "partial 16S ribosomal RNA". It matches the Rfam family "Bacterial small subunit ribosomal RNA", at positions 524 to 776 of the family's 1533-position model. The record is from RNAcentral.
UACGUAGGGUGCGAGCGUUAAUCGGAAUUACUGGGCGUAAAGCGUGCGCAGGCGGUUCUGAAAGUCAGCUGUGAAAGCCCCCGGGCUUAACCUGGGAACUGCGGUUGAAACUACAGGACUAGAAUCUGGCAGAGGGGGGUGGAAUUCCACGUGUAGCAGUGAAAUGCGUAGAGAUGUGGAGGAACACCGAUGGCGAAGGCAGCCCCCUGGGCUGAGAUUGACGCUCAGGCACGAAAGCGUGGGGAGCAAACAGG